RNAcentral lists this transfer RNA (72 nucleotides) under Candidatus Yanofskybacteria bacterium RIFCSPHIGHO2_01_FULL_44_17. RNAcentral's name for it is "tRNA-Ala". It matches the Rfam family "tRNA". Rfam says of the family: Transfer RNA (tRNA) molecules are approximately 80 nucleotides in length. Their secondary structure includes four short double-helical elements and three loops (D, anti-codon, and T loops). The record is from RNAcentral. Lineage: Bacteria; Candidatus Yanofskyibacteriota.
GGGCUGGUAGUUCAGCGGUAGAACGCCGCUUUUGCAAAGCGGAGGCCGAGGGUCCGACUCCCUCCCAGUCCA